UGGGGAAUUUUGCGCAAUGGACGAAAGUCUGACGCAGCAACGCCGCGUGGGUGAUGAAGGUCUUCGGAUUGUAAAACCCUGUCGUCGGGGACGAAGGUAGGGGGGUUAAUAGCCCUUUUGCUUGACGGUACCCGGAGAGGAAGCCCCGGCUAACUCUGUGCCAGCAGCCGCGGUAAUACAGAGGGGGCAAGCGUUAUUCGGAAUUAUUGGGCGUAAAGGGCGCGUAGGCGGUGAUUCAAGUUGGAUGUGUAAUCCCCGGGCUCAACCUGGGAACUGCAUCCAAGACUGGAUCGCUAGAGUGCUGGAGAGGGUGGUGGAAUUCCUCGUGUAGCGGUGAAAUGCGUAGAGAUGAGGAGGAACACCAGUGGCGAAGGCGGCCACCUGGACAGUAACUGACGCUGAGGCGCGAAAGUGUGGGGAGCAAACA
Molecule: ribosomal RNA, 427 nt
Filed under: uncultured bacterium
Lineage: Bacteria
Description: bacterial SSU rRNA
Rfam family: Bacterial small subunit ribosomal RNA
Source: RNAcentral